AGGAGUUAGUCAGAAGGGGUACAGCUCUUCUGAAAAAAGAAACAACUUUAGUAGGUGAAACAGGAUCAUAUCAACCAAGGACUAAGAUUUAAGUGGGCCUAAAAGCAGCCAUCUUUAAAGAAAGCGUUAAAGCUCCAACUAGCUUCCCCCCCCCCUUAUAUACUGAUAUCAAUACUCCUCCCCCCUACCACCUACCAGGCUGUCUUAUGCCCCCAUAAGAAUAAUUAUGCUAAAAUGAGUAAUAAGAAGAAAUACUUCUUCUCCCAGCAUGCGUGUAAGUCGAACCGGACCCCCCAUCGAUUAUUAUCCGACCCCAAUCCCAGAGGGCCCUAAGUUGAAAAAACAAGAAAAUCACUUAACCAAAAUCGUUAAUCUCACACAAGAGUGCAUCAAGGAAAGACUAAAAGGGAAGGAAGGAACUCGGCAAACUCAAGCCUCGCCUGUUUACCAAAAACAUCGCCUCUUGAUUUAUAAGUAUAAGAGGUCUCGCCUGCCCAGUGACUAAGUGUUAAACGGCCGUGGUAUCUUAACCAUGCGAAGGUAGCGUAAUCACUUGUCUUUUAAAUGAAGACCUGUAUGAAUGGCAAAACGAGGGCUUAACUGUCUCCCUUCCCCAGUCAAUGAAAUUGACCUCCCCGUGCAGAGGCGGGGAUAAUCCUAUAAGACGAGAAGACCCUGUGGAGCUUCAGACUUAAAAUAACCACAUUAAAUAAGCUCAAAGAUGAGAAAAAACCCAGUGGACUUUAUUUAAAUGUCUUUGGUUGGGGUGACCACGGGGUAAAACACAGCCCCCAUGAAGAUAGGGGAAAUAUCCCUAACACUAAGAGCCACCCCUCUAAGUAACAAAAUCUUUGACUUUAAAAAUGAUCCGGCUCAGCCGAUUAACGAACCCAGUUACCCCAGGGAUAACAGCGCAAUCCCCUCCCAGAGCCCCUAUCGACGAGGGGGUUUACGACCUCGAUGUUGGAUCAGGACAUCCUAAUGGUGCAGCCGCUA
Molecule: ribosomal RNA, 996 nt
Filed under: Coryphaenoides alateralis
Lineage: Eukaryota; Metazoa; Chordata; Actinopteri; Gadiformes; Macrouridae
Description: partial 16S ribosomal RNA
Rfam family: Bacterial large subunit ribosomal RNA
Source: RNAcentral